Molecule: ribosomal RNA, 658 nt
Filed under: uncultured bacterium
Lineage: Bacteria
Description: bacterial SSU rRNA
Rfam family: Bacterial small subunit ribosomal RNA
Source: RNAcentral
UGCGUCACUGAUGGAUGGACCCGCGGUGCAUUAGCUAGUUGGUGGGGUAACGGCCUACCAAGGCUGCGAUGCAUAGCCGACCUGAGAGGGUGAUCGGCCACACUGGGACUGAGACACGGCCCAGACUCCUACGGGAGGCAGCAGUAGGGAAUCUUCGGCAAUGGACGCAAGUCUGACCGAGCAACGCCGCGUGAGUGAAGAAGGUUUUCGGAUCGUAAAACUCUGUUGUUAGAGAAGAACAAGGAUGAGAGUGGAAAGUUCAUCCCUUGACGGUAUCUAACCAGAAAGCCACGGCUAACUACGUGCCAGCAGCCGCGGUAAUACGUAGGUGGCAAGCGUUGUCCGGAUUUAUUGGGCGUAAAGCGAGCGCAGGCGGUCUUUUAAGUCUGAUGUGAAAGCCCCCGGCUUAACCGGGGAGGGUCAUUGGAAACUGGGAGACUUGAGUGCAGAAGAGGAAAGCGGAAUUCCAUGUGUAGCGGUGAAAUGCGUAGAUAUAUGGAGGAACACCAGUGGCGAAGGCGGCUUUCUGGUCUGUAACUGACGCUGAGGCUCGAAAGCGUGGGGAGCAAACAGGGUUAGAUACCCUGGUAGUCCACGCCGUAAACGAUGAGUGCUAAGUGUUGGAGGGUUUCCGCCCUUCAGUGCUGCAGCAAACGCA